RNAcentral lists this ribosomal RNA (1110 nucleotides) under uncultured cyanobacterium. Its description in RNAcentral is "bacterial SSU rRNA". It matches the Rfam family "Bacterial small subunit ribosomal RNA", at positions 389 to 1514 of the family's 1533-position model. Lineage: Bacteria; Bacillati; Cyanobacteriota. The record is from RNAcentral.
GAGCAAGACCGCGUGAGGGAGGAAGGCCCUUGGGUUGUAAACCUCUUUUCUCUGGGAAGAAGUUCUGACGGUACCAGAGGAAUCAGCAUCGGCUAACUCCGUGCCAGCAGCCGCGGUAAUACGGAGGAUGCAAGCGUUAUCCGGAAUUAUUGGGCGUAAAGAGUCCGUAGGUGGUCGUGCAAGUCUGCCGUCAAAGCAUGGAGCUUAACUCCAUCAAGGCGGUGGAAACUGUGAGACUAGAGUCUAGGAGGGGUAGAGGGAAUUCCCAGUGUAGCGGUGAAAUGCGUAGAGAUUGGGAAGAACACCGGUGGCGAAAGCGCUCUACUGGACUAGAACUGACACUGAGGGACGAAAGCUAGGGUAGCGAAAGGGAUUAGAUACCCCUGUAGUCCUAGCCGUAAACGAUGGAUACUAGGCGUAGCACGUAUCGACCCGAGCUGUGCCGAAGCUAACGCGUUAAGUAUCCCGCCUGGGGAGUACGCACGCAAGUGUGAAACUCAAAGGAAUUGACGGGGGCCCGCACAAGCGGUGGAGUAUGUGGUUUAAUUCGAUGCAACGCGAAGAACCUUACCAAGGCUUGACAUCCGACGAAUCUCUCAGAAACGGGAGAGUGCCUUCGGGAACGUCGUGACAGGUGGUGCAUGGCUGUCGUCAGCUCGUGUCGUGAGAUGUUGGGUUAAGUCCCGCAACGAGCGCAACCCUCGUCCUUAGUUGCCAAUAUUAAGUUAGGAACUCUAGGGAGACUGCCGGGGACAACUCGGAGGAAGGUGGGGAUGACGUCAAGUCAGCAUGCCCCUUACGUCUUGGGCUACACACGUACUACAAUGGUCGGGACAACGAGCAGCGAAGCCGCAAGGUGUAGCGAAUCUCAACAAACCCGGCCUCAGUUCAGAUUGGGGGCUGCAACUCGCCCCCAUGAAGGAGGAAUCGCUAGUAAUCGCAGGUCAGCAUACUGCGGUGAAUCCGUUCCCGGGCCUUGUACACACCGCCCGUCACACCAUGGGAGCUGGCCACGCCCGAAGUCGUUACUCCAACCGUAAGGAGGAGGAUGCCGAAGGCAGGGCUAGUGACUGGGGUGAAGUCGUAACAAGGUAGCCGUACCGGAAGGUG